Molecule: ribosomal RNA, 449 nt
Filed under: uncultured bacterium
Lineage: Bacteria
Description: partial 16S ribosomal RNA
Rfam family: Bacterial small subunit ribosomal RNA
Source: RNAcentral
GUCGAGAAUCUUUCACAAUGGGGGCAACCCUGAUGGAGCGACGCCGCGUGGAGGAUAAGGUCUUCGGAUUGUAAACUCCUGUCAUGCGUGAACAAGGUUGCUUGGAUAAUACCUGAGCAAAUUGAUGGUAGCGCAAGAGGAAGAGACGGCUAACUCUGUGCCAGCAGCCGCGGUAAUACAGAGGUCUCAAGCGUUGUUCGGAAUCACUGGGCGUAAAGGGUGCGUAGGUGGCGUGGUAAGUCAGAUGUGAAAGCCCGGGGCUCAACCUCGGAACUGCAUCCGAUACUGCCAUGCUAGAGUACUGGAGAGGUGACUAGAAUUCUCGGUGUAGCAGUGAAAUGCGUAGAUAUCGAGAGGAAUACCAAAGGCGUAGGCAGGUCACUGGACAGUUACUGACACUGAGGCACGAAGGCCAGGGGAGCGAACGGGAUUAGAUACCCGAGUAGUCC